Folsomia candida is the source of this 830-nucleotide long non-coding RNA. RefSeq lists it as uncharacterized. The transcript is spliced from 2 exons. NCBI's taxonomy places the organism in Eukaryota, Metazoa, Arthropoda, Collembola, Entomobryomorpha, Isotomidae. The record is from RefSeq and is a predicted model, not a curated record.
UCCUCCCAUAUUAUUACAAAAUUACCCCUUAAAAAUUACAAACUUAAUUUAAAUAUGGUGCACAUUUGUUAACACAUAUUUUGGUAUGGGGUAUUUUUUAGACAAGAAUGUAGGUUAUGCAUGGGACUAAAAAAAUAUUCUGCAUAAAAAUAUUUGUCCAAAAAUAUGAACCACAAAUUUAAAUUGAAUUUGUAAUUUUUAAGGGAAAAUUUGGUAAUAUUGUGGGAGGUUUUGGAUAUCGUGGAAAGACCGGAAUAGCACGAGUACACCCAGAACAGAUUCACAAGGUUAUCAGGGAUAACGCCAGUCAAAUCUGGUCAGCUAUGGACCCAGAAUUUUGCGGAUAAGGAAAAAUGCCGGGAACUUGGCUUAGCCGGCUAGCAGUCCUGACCUAAAUCCCAUGAAGAAUUUUUGGGCCAACUUCUUCGCGUCGGGUGGGCGUCAAUUUCGAACCAAAAAGGGAUUGGAGCAAAUGAUGCAUGGCGGAUGGGCAAAUAUCCUGCUGGAGACCCUUCAGCACUUCAAUAACUCAAUGAAGCGACGAAUAUUCGCGUUAAUUCUAGCUAAGAAAGGUUUUACCAAAUACUAGAAUAAGUUUCAAGGGUACUGGCUCCCUUAAAAUUAACUUAUAAAAUGUUUAAAUUUCAUAUCUCUUACUUUUGAGACAGUCGAUUUUGACUAAUUUUGUAAGAUUGCAUAUAAAUUUCUUGAUUUAAGUCAAAUCUCAAUGAAACUUGGCAUGAACUUGUAGCAAUACCUGAGCUAUAUUAUAAUAAAACUUUGGGCCCCAGGACCAAGCUAUUAAGAAAUAGUAGAAUUUUCCAAAACUA